CAGAGACUGCAAGCGUUAUUCGGAUUCACUGGGCGUAAAGGGUGCGCAGGCGGCCAAGUGUGUGAGGCGUGAAAGCCCGGGGCUUAACCCCGGAAUUGCACCUCAAACUACAUGGCUAGAGCAUUGGAGAGGGUAGCAGAAUUCAUGGUGUAGCAGUGAAAUGCGUAGAUAUCAUGAGGAAUACCAGAGGCGAAGGCGGCUACCUGGACAAUUGCUGACGCUCAGGCACGAAAGCGUGGGGAGCAAAAGGGAUUAGAUACCCCUGUAGUCCACGCCCUAAACGGUGCACACUAGGUCUUGGCGGAUUCGACCCCCCAGGGCCCAAGCUAACGCGUUAAGUGUGCCGCCUGAGGACUACGGCCGCAAGGCUA
This 371-nucleotide ribosomal RNA is filed under the name uncultured organism. Its description in RNAcentral is "bacterial SSU rRNA". It matches the Rfam family "Bacterial small subunit ribosomal RNA", at positions 526 to 896 of the family's 1533-position model. The record is from RNAcentral.